UACAGAGGGUGCGAGCGUCAAUCGGAAUUACUGGGCGUAAAGCGCGCGUAGGCGGCUUUGCAAGUCGAGUGUGAAAUUCCCAGGCUUAACCUGGGAACUGCUCUCGAGACUGCAUAGCUAGAGUAUGGGAGAGGGAAGUGGAAUUUCAGGUGUAGCGGUGAAAUGCGUAGAUAUCUGAAGGAACAUCAGUGGCGAAAGCGACUUCCUGGACCAAUACUGACGCUCAUGUGCGAAAGCGUGGGGAGCAAACAGG
Molecule: ribosomal RNA, 253 nt
Filed under: uncultured bacterium
Lineage: Bacteria
Description: partial 16S ribosomal RNA
Rfam family: Bacterial small subunit ribosomal RNA
Source: RNAcentral